AUUGAACGCUGGCGGCAGGCCUAACACAUGCAAGUCGAGCGAGCGGCGGACUGGUGAGUCAUGUCUGGGGUUCUGCCCGAUAGAGGGGGAUAACUACUGGAAACGGUGUCUAAUACCCCAUACUAUCGGCUGCACCCAUAUGGGAUUAGCUAGUAGGUGUGGUAAAGGCUCACCUAGGCGACGAUCUCUAGCUGGUCUGAGAGGAUGAUCAGCCACACUGGGACUGAGACACGGCCCAGACUCCUACGGGAGGCAGCAGGGGGGAAUAUUGCACAAGGGGCGCAAGCCUGAUGCAGCCAUGCCGCGUGUAUGAAGAAGGCCUGAGGGUUGUAAAGUACUUUCAGCGGGGAGGCGUUACCCGCAGAAGAAGCACCGGCUAACUCCGUGCCAGCAGCCGCGGUAAUAC
This 406-nucleotide ribosomal RNA is filed under the name uncultured bacterium. RNAcentral's name for it is "partial 16S ribosomal RNA". It matches the Rfam family "Bacterial small subunit ribosomal RNA", at positions 30 to 526 of the family's 1533-position model. The record is from RNAcentral.